Molecule: long non-coding RNA, 1419 nt
Organism: Vespa velutina
Lineage: Eukaryota; Metazoa; Arthropoda; Insecta; Hymenoptera; Vespidae
Exons: 3
Source: RefSeq, a predicted model, not a curated record
UACAUAUAUAUAUAUAUAUAUAUAUAUAUAUAUAUAUGUACAUCCUAUGUAUAUGUACAUCCGAUGGAAAUGAAGAUAACUCAAAUGUCACCGUUGUAAACUGUUAUACGUCUAACGUUCAUGAAGAUCCGUUACACUUGACUCCACUUUUCAUUGGCUUCCUAUCCGUAUUCUUCUUCUACAUACAUAGAACGAAUUUAACUCGGACGACAAGCAGGUGACGAGUCAAAUUACGGAAGUCAUUGAAGCACUGUGGUUAUGAACGUACAAGUUAUACGUCUCUUGAGAGAGAAAGAGGCAGAGAGACAGAAAGAGAGAGAGAGAGAGAGAGAGAGAGAGAGAGAGAGAGAGAGAAAGGGAAGAAAUGGAAGACGUGCCACAACCACAUCCGUCGUUACAGCCGGCUUUGCAUUUUCUUUGGAAUACACGAGAUUUCUUUUGAUAUUCACCCUUUUCCUUAUUCUCUCAUCUUCAUGAAGAAAAUGAAAUACCGAUUUUAUCCUCGUUAUGGAUAUCUCCUACUAUAAUAAUAAUAAUAAUAAAAUUAAAUGUUUUGAAGAUUUGAGGAAAACAAAAUUGAUCGACUUAUAUGUAGAGUAUCUGAAUUUCGUUUAUUUCAAUAAUAUUUAAUUUAAGAGGCUAUUUUUGAAAUAUGAUAAAAAUGAUGAAAACACAAUGUAUAAUGUACUACUGCGAAGAUGAGGAAUAAUAGAAGAAGAAGAAGAAGAAGAAGAAAAAGAAGAAGAAGAAGAAGAAGAAGCAAGAAAAAAAUGACAAAAUAAAAAAGAAAUAAACGAAGAAGUUGGACCAAAGUUUCAAUCGGAUAAGGUCCCCGAUCGGUGUAUGUAUCUGCUUCUUGCUUGCUUGCUUGCUUGCUUGCUUGCUUGCUAGCUCUACGUCCCUCGUCUUCGAUCGAACUUGAAGUCGAACUCGUUCUCGACAAGAGAGUAACAUGAAGAUGCGAAGUAACCGGUGCUUCUUCGAUACGUUUGCAUUGAAGAAGAAUAAAAAGAAAAAGAAAAUAAAAAAAAAAUAAAAAAAAAAAAAGAACGGAAAUGAAAACGAAAAUGAAAACGAAUAAGAAGUAGGUGGACCAAAAAGAUAACUGAGAAAAUGAUCGACGAAGAGAUUAAAUAAAAAAAAAAUAAAUAAAUAAAUAAAUAAAGAUACAGUAGAUGAUAGUAAAGAAUCGUCGUUAGAGAACGGAAUCUCCUUGAGGUGACCUUGAAGAAAAGUGACGAACAUUGUCCAAACAGUGCGAUAAAAAAUUUUAUGAGACAAAAUUGAAACCCAAUGUAAAUUAUAGAUAAAGCAAUUGAUUUUCUUGAAGGGAGAGGGGGGCAACAAUCUAUCUCGUGAUCGUGACAAUAGUUGAGAUAUACCAAACAAAAAAAAAAAAAAAAAAAAAAAAAAAAAGAA